This 23-nucleotide non-coding RNA is filed under the name Cricetulus griseus (Chinese hamster). The record is from RNAcentral. Lineage: Eukaryota; Metazoa; Chordata; Mammalia; Rodentia; Cricetidae.
AUGUGUGAUGUUGAAAGGUAUCA